GAUGAACGCUGGCGGCGUGCCUAAUACAUGCAAGUCGAGCGAACAGACGCGGAGCUUGCUCCUCUGACGUUAGCGGCGGACGGGUGAGACACACGUGGAUACCCUCCCUAUAAGACUGGGAUAACUUCGGGACACCGGCGCUAAUACCGGAGAAUAUAUUGAUCCGCAUGGUUCAAUAGUGAAAGACGGUUUUGCUGUCACUUAUAGCUGGAUCCGGGCUGCUUUAGCUGGUUGGUAAGGUAACGGGUUACCAAGGGAACGAUGCGUAACCGAGCUGAGGGGCGGGUCGCCCACCCGGGAACGGAAACACGCUCCAUACUCCUACGGUACGCAGCAGUAGGGAAUCGUCCGCAAUGGUCGAAAACUUGACGGAGCAACGCCGCGUGAGAUAUGAAGGUCUUCGGAUCGUAAAACUCGGUUAUGAGUUAAGAACAAAUGUGGAAGUAGCUAUGCACUGCGUGACGGUACCGAAUCAGAAAGCCACGGCUAACUACGUG
Molecule: ribosomal RNA, 497 nt
Filed under: uncultured bacterium
Lineage: Bacteria
Description: partial 16S ribosomal RNA
Rfam family: Bacterial small subunit ribosomal RNA
Source: RNAcentral